This 253-nucleotide ribosomal RNA is filed under the name uncultured bacterium. RNAcentral's name for it is "partial 16S ribosomal RNA". It matches the Rfam family "Bacterial small subunit ribosomal RNA", at positions 524 to 776 of the family's 1533-position model. The record is from RNAcentral.
UACGUAGGGGGCAAGCGUUGUCCGGAUUUAUUGGGCGUAAAGAGCGUGUAGGCGGCCAGGUAGGUCUGCUGUGAAAACUCGAGGCUCAACCUCGAGACGUCGGCGGAAACCAUCUGGCUAGAGUCCGGAAGAGGAGAGUGGAAUUCCUGGUGUAGCGGUGAAAUGCGCAGAUAUCAGGAAGAACACCGGUGGCGAAGGCGGUUCUCUGGGCCUUACCUGACGCUGAGGAGCGAAAGCGUGGGGAGCGAACAGG